RNAcentral lists this ribosomal RNA (523 nucleotides) under uncultured bacterium. RNAcentral describes it as "bacterial SSU rRNA". It matches the Rfam family "Bacterial small subunit ribosomal RNA", at positions 8 to 518 of the family's 1533-position model. The record is from RNAcentral.
AGAGUUUGAUCAUGGCUCAGGAUGAACGCUAGCUACAGGCUUAACACAUGCAAGUCGCGGGGCAUCGCGAAGGGUAGCAAUACUCUUUGGCGGCGACCGGCGGAUGGGUGAGUAACGCGUAUCCAACCUGGCCCUAUCUCGGGCACAGCCCCUCGAAAGAGGGAUUAAUUCCCGAUGUUCCCGUUAGUUCGCAUGUUCUUUCGGGCAAAGGUAUUUAUCGGAUAGGGAUGGGGAUGCGUUCCAUUAGGCAGUCGGCGGGGUAACGGCCACCGAGCCUUCGAUGGAUAGGGGUUCUGAGAGGAAGGCCCCCCACACUGGGACUGAGACACGGCCCAGACUCCUACGGGAGGCAGCAGUGAGGAAUAUUGGUCAAUGGCGGUAACGCUGAACCAGCCAAGUAGCCGUGAGGGAUUACGGCCCUACGGGUCUUAAACCUCUUUUGUUGGGGAGCAACCUGUGCCACUUGUGGCACACUGCGAGUACCCUUCGAAUAAGCAUCGGCUAACUCCGUGCCAGCCGCGGC